UCCUUUACGGGCUUGCCGAGUUUCUGAACAGCAGCUACACUUUGCUGAAGUAAGUUAAAAAAUCGCCACAAAUUCGAGUUCUUAUCCUUGGACAAAAAUCAUUGCCAUUUUAUUUCAAAGAUUAAGAGUGCUCACCAACUAUGUGAAUGUCCUUUUUGAGUGGAAAGUGGUGAGGAGGAAAUCAGUGGCUGAGAGCAGUGACUGCCACAGUUGCACCCUGGAAAAAAGGCUCUAUUCAUCAAUUAUGAAAGUAGUCACCAAGGACGAGAUUUUGUUGAUUAUAUGACUGUAUGGAGGAGUAAAAAGCAAAGAUUAAUUUAGGAAGCUGACCAGGUUUGGGUCCCCAUAUCCGAAUGGAAUAUUUCAGUAUGGAUUGAUCUACUGGUGAUGCAAUCAUCUCAAGUCAUGUGACAGUUUCCUCUGAAUUGAAAGGAGACAAGUGAUAGAAGAUGACACCAGAGAAUGUGUAAGGGACCAGGGAGAAGCACACGAGACAAGAAAAAGCUUUCUGCUUCUUUAUCUGACCGCCAUUUGAGGAACUGUGCCAAAAGAACCCUCUGAAGCUGUGAGCCCAAAUAACACUCUCCCUUAACUUGCAUCUGUCUGGUGUUUUUGCUGAAACAGGAGGAGCAGCUAAUGCAAUCGAUGUAAAACAAAUGUGAACCAAGCUGGUAAGCAGCAGGAAAAAUGCUCAGAGAACUUCCAGUUUUAGCCUUGCUGGAGGGAAUGGGGACUUGAGGAAGAAAUUACUCCAUCAGCAAGCAGAGUGACCUCACUGGAAUGCCAAUUUCACAGUUAUUCUGGGAAUAAUAGUGCAAGUUGAGAGCAAGAAAUUAAAAGUCCAAUAACUUGCUAGGAAAACUAGUUCACUUGGAUUCUUGUCAUGGUCCCAGGAGUGAUGGGUGGGGACAAGGGUACAGCUCAUGACUAUGCUCAGGGGCUGUUCUGUAAAUAGUAUUAAAUUUGAUGAUUUUUAUUCUAACAGAAUGAUGUGGGGGGAUUUCUUCAGCAUUCUAACUCUUCCAAUUUCAAUCAAAUUAAAUGACUAGUGUAUGCUACCCCACCUGGCUUUCCAAGCCCCACAGAAGUUGGCAUUUGUGAUGGUGGUGGCUUUUAGCCUUUCAAGUGGCCAGCUGGUUGUAAUGAUUUCAGCUCUACCCUCUGAAUUGAAUAUUAUCCCCCCAAAUUCAAACAUUGAAAUCCUAAUUACUUUACAAUUUGACCCUGGAAAUAGGAUGCCUGAGGAGCAAAUGAAGUCCUUGGGAUGGGCUCUAAUCCAACA
RNAcentral lists this long non-coding RNA (1282 nucleotides) under Cricetulus griseus (Chinese hamster). RNAcentral's name for it is "lncRNA (ENSCGRG00015039947.1)". Lineage: Eukaryota; Metazoa; Chordata; Mammalia; Rodentia; Cricetidae. The record is from RNAcentral.